UACGUAGGGGGCAAGCGUUAUCCGGAUUUACUGGGUGUAAAGGGAGCGUAGACGGCGAUGCAAGUCUGAAGUGAAAGGCGGGGGCCCAACCCCCGGACUGCUUUGGAAACUGUAUGGCUGGAGUGCAGGAGAGGUAAGUGGAAUUCCUAGUGUAGCGGUGAAAUGCGUAGAUAUUAGGAGGAACACCAGUGGCGAAGGCGGCUUACUGGACUGUAACUGACGUUGAGGCUCGAAAGCGUGGGGAGCGAACAGG
This 253-nucleotide ribosomal RNA is filed under the name uncultured bacterium. RNAcentral's name for it is "partial 16S ribosomal RNA". It matches the Rfam family "Bacterial small subunit ribosomal RNA", at positions 524 to 776 of the family's 1533-position model. The record is from RNAcentral.